Molecule: transfer RNA, 75 nt
Filed under: Saprospiraceae bacterium
Lineage: Bacteria; Pseudomonadati; Bacteroidota; Saprospiria; Saprospirales; Saprospiraceae
Description: tRNA-Glu
Rfam family: tRNA
About the family: Transfer RNA (tRNA) molecules are approximately 80 nucleotides in length. Their secondary structure includes four short double-helical elements and three loops (D, anti-codon, and T loops). Further hydrogen bonds mediate the characteristic L-shaped molecular structure. tRNAs have two regions of fundamental functional importance: the anti-codon, which is responsible for specific mRNA codon recognition, and the 3' end, to which the tRNAs corresponding amino acid is attached (by aminoacyl-tRNA synthetases). tRNAs cope with the degeneracy of the genetic code in two manners: having more than one tRNA (with a specific anti-codon) for a particular amino acid; and 'wobble' base-pairing, i.e. permitting non-standard base-pairing at the 3rd anti-codon position.
Source: RNAcentral
GCCGCCUUGGUCUAGUUGGUCUAGGACACUCGGUUCUCAUCCGAGAGAUCAGGGGUUCGAAUCCCCUAGGCGGUA